ACCCAACCGCGGCGACCAGACGUGCACUCCUCCAGUAGCGGCUGCACGUCGUGCCAAUGGCCCGCUAUGAGGAGGUGAGCGUGUCCGGCUUCGAGGAGUUCCACCGGGCCGUGGAACAGCACAAUGGCAAGACCAUUUUCGCCUACUUUACGGGUUCUAAGGACGCCGGGGGGAAAAGCUGGUGCCCCGAUUGCGUGCAGGCUGAACCAGUCGUACGAGAGGGGCUGAAGCACAUUAGUGAAGGAUGUGUGUUCAUCUACUGCCAAGUAGGAGAAAAGCCUUAUUGGAAAGAUCCAAAUAAUGACUUCAGAAAAAACUUGAAAGUAACAGCAGUGCCUACACUACUUAAGUAUGGAACAGUAAGUAUCUUUAAAUAUGCUGGGCCUGUAAU
This 391-nucleotide small RNA is filed under the name Pan troglodytes (chimpanzee). RNAcentral's name for it is "processed transcript". The record is from RNAcentral. Lineage: Eukaryota; Metazoa; Chordata; Mammalia; Primates; Hominidae.